UGCAGUCGAGCGAACAGACGAGGAGCUUGCUCCUCUGACGUUAGCGGCGGACGGGUGAGUAACACGUGGAUAACCUACCUAUAAGACUGGGAUAACUUCGGGAAACCGGAGCUAAUACCGGAUAACAUGUUGAACCGCAUGGUUCAACAGUGAAAGACGGUCUUGCUGUCACUUAUAGAUGGAUCCGCGCCGCAUUAGCUAGUUGGUAAGGUAACGGCUUACCAAGGCAACGAUGCGUAGCCGACCUGAGAGGGUGAUCGGCCAUAGCUGGAACUGAGACACGGUCCAGACUCCUACGGGAGGCAGCAGUAGGGAAUCUUCCGCAAUGGGCGAAAGCCUGACGGAGCAACGCCGCGUGAGUGAAGAAGGUCUUCGGAUCGUAAAACUCUGUUAUUAGGGAAGAACAAAUGUGUAAGUAACUAUGCACGUCUUGACGGUACCUAAUCAGAAAGCCACGGCUAACUACGUGCCAGCAGCCGCGGUAAUACGUAGGUGGCAAGCGUUAUCCGGAAUUAUUGGGCGUAAAGCGCGCGUAGGCGGUUUUUUAAGUCUGAUGUGAAAGCCCACGGCUCAACCGUGGAGGGUCAUUGGAAACUGGAAAACUUGAGUGCAGAAGAGGAAAGUGGAAUUCCAUGUGUAGCGGUGAAAUGCGCAGAGAUAUGGAGGAACACCAGUGGCGAAGGCGACUUUCUGGUCUGUAACUGACGCUGAUGUGCGAAAGCGUGGGGAUCAAACAGGAUUAGAUACCCUGGUAGUCCACGCCGUAAACGAUGAGUGCUAAGUGUUAGGGGGUUUCCGCCCCUUAGUGCUGCAGCUAACGCAUUAAGCACUCCGCCUGGGGAGUACGACCGCAAGGUUGAAACUCAAAGGAAUUGACGGGGACCCGCACAAGCGGUGGAGCAUGUGGUUUAAUU
Molecule: ribosomal RNA, 914 nt
Filed under: Staphylococcus capitis
Lineage: Bacteria; Bacillati; Bacillota; Bacilli; Caryophanales; Staphylococcaceae
Description: bacterial SSU rRNA
Rfam family: Bacterial small subunit ribosomal RNA
Source: RNAcentral